GCCAUAAGGAGCAUCAGAUUCCCUGGGACUGGAGUCUUAAAUGGUUAUGAACCGCCAUGUGGGUACUGGGACCUGAACCAGGUCUUCUGGAAGAGCAGAGCCAUCUCUUCAGCUGAAUUUUGUACAUCUAAAUUAUUACAUUUUAUUUUGUGAGUGUGCACAUGCCUUUGCUGGCACAAAAGCCAUGGUGCUCACUCAGAGAUCAGAGAACAACUUGUUGGAGUUGGCUCUCUCCUUUCAGCUUGUGGGUCCCAGGGAUCAGACUCAGUGUCUUUAUCCGCUGAGCCACCCAGUUUCUACAUCUUGUAUAUGUAACAAAGAGAAGGAUCAAGACGAGGAGGGUCCCAGAGUGAGAAAAGAAUGCCGGAUGUGGGACAGUGACCUGGGAGUGAAGGAAGCAGGGCAAUUUGAGAAGGCAAGGUCACACUGCCUCCUGGACCAGUAUGCAAGAACUGGGGUUUGGGGUCCGCAGACACAGAAAUCAGGCACAUUUUUCCUGACGGAAACCUUGACUAUCACAGAUUUGUGUUUUCCUACCCACAGGUCUGAAGGACAGAAAGGAGGGGCAGGGAAGAGGUAACUCAGGAGACAAGUCCGAGUCCCAUAUAGGCUUGAAAAUGCUGUCCCCACCGACACCAGGCUGAAGCCCGUGGGAGAUGGGAGUACAGGAUUCCGCUCUCCUUUACAUUACUUAAAAUGGGAGAGAUUUAAAAACAAAACAAAACUAAAAACCAAAGGAGAGUGUGUGUGGGAGGGGCCGUUGCUAGAGGAGGCUAAGCUUUACCUGGUGGUGUUGGGGGUGGUGCUGGGGAAGGUGUCUGGGGACAGAGUUCACUCCUAAGGGAGCCUGGGAGCUAGUGAGAUGGCACAGCAGGUAAAGGUACUUGCCACCAAGACUGGUUUGAGUCUAGUCCCUGGAUCCAUAAAGCGGAACAAAAGAACUAAUUCCUGCAAAAUGUCCUCUGCUCUCCACUGAAAUGCCAUGGUGUGCCCAUCCUCCAUACACAAUAAGCAAAACGUAGUAAAAACUUUUUUUUUUUUUUUGCCUCUUUUGAGAGGAGGUUGAACACUGUAGCCUUGACUGGCCUAGUCCUUGCCAAUUAGAGCAGGCUGGCCUGAAACUCAGAGAUUCACCUGCCUCAGCCUUCCAAGUGUUUGUACUUAAGGCAUGCAUCAAAACAUUUUUUUUUUUUUAAUUUUGUUUUUCAAGACAGGGUUCCUCUGAGUAGCCCUGGAACUCACUCUGUAGUUCAGGCAGGCAGAUCUCUGAGCGUCUCAAAAAAAAAAAAAAAAAAAAAAAAAAAACAAAAAAACAAAAAAACAAACCUGGGGAACUGACUAGAGAGAGAUUGC
This 1353-nucleotide long non-coding RNA is filed under the name Cricetulus griseus (Chinese hamster). RNAcentral describes it as "lncRNA (ENSCGRG00015035462.1)". Lineage: Eukaryota; Metazoa; Chordata; Mammalia; Rodentia; Cricetidae. The record is from RNAcentral.